RNAcentral lists this ribosomal RNA (483 nucleotides) under uncultured bacterium. Its description in RNAcentral is "partial 16S ribosomal RNA". It matches the Rfam family "Bacterial small subunit ribosomal RNA", at positions 30 to 506 of the family's 1533-position model. The record is from RNAcentral.
AUUGAACGCUGGCGGCAGGCCUAACACAUGCAAGUCGAGCGGAUAAAGGGAGCUUGCUCCUGGAUUCAGCGGCGGACGGGUGAGUAAUGCCUAGGAAUCUGCCUGGUAGUGGGGGAUAACGUCCGGAAACGGGCGCUAAUACCGCAUACGUCCUGAGGGAGAAAGUGGGGGAUCUUCGGACCUCACGCUAUCAGAUGAGCCUAGGUCGGAUUAGCUAGUUGGUGGGGUAAAGGCCUACCAAGGCGACGAUCCGUAACUGGUCUGAGAGGAUGAUCAGUCACACUGGAACUGAGACACGGUCCAGACUCCUACGGGAGGCAGCAGUGGGGAAUAUUGGACAAUGGGCGAAAGCCUGAUCCAGCCAUGCCGCGUGUGUGAAGAAGGUCUUCGGAUUGUAAAGCACUUUAAGUUGGGAGGAAGGGCACUAAGUUAAUACCUUGCUGUUUUGACGUUACCAACAGAAUAAGCACCGGCUAACUUCGU